UACGUAGGCAGCGAGCGUUGUUCGGAAUUACUGGGCGUAAAGAGUGCGUAGGCGGUGCUCUAAGUCUGUUGUGAAAUCUCCCGGCUCAACUGGGAGGGUGCGGCGGAAACUAGAGUGCUAGAGUAUGGGAGAGGUAAGCGGAAUUCCUGGUGUAGCGGUGAAAUGCGUAGAUAUCAGGAGGAACACCGGUGGCGAAGGCGGGUCUCUGGGCCGUAACUGACGCUGAGGAGCGAAAGCGUGGGGAGCGAACAGG
RNAcentral lists this ribosomal RNA (253 nucleotides) under uncultured bacterium. Its description in RNAcentral is "partial 16S ribosomal RNA". It matches the Rfam family "Bacterial small subunit ribosomal RNA", at positions 524 to 776 of the family's 1533-position model. The record is from RNAcentral.